ACGAGGUGUGGUGGCGGCACCUGUAGUCCCAACUACUUGGGAGGCUGAAGCAGGAGGAUCACUUGAACUAAGGAGUUCAGGGACAGCCUGGGUAACAGUGAGCCCCCUGUCUUAU
Molecule: small RNA, 115 nt
Filed under: Marmota monax (woodchuck)
Lineage: Eukaryota; Metazoa; Chordata; Mammalia; Rodentia; Sciuridae
Source: RNAcentral